This 433-nucleotide ribosomal RNA is filed under the name uncultured Oscillospiraceae bacterium. Its description in RNAcentral is "partial 16S ribosomal RNA". It matches the Rfam family "Bacterial small subunit ribosomal RNA", at positions 341 to 792 of the family's 1533-position model. Lineage: Bacteria; Bacillati; Bacillota; Clostridia; Eubacteriales; Oscillospiraceae. The record is from RNAcentral.
ACGGAAGGCAGCAGUGGGGGAUAUUGCACAAUGGGGGAAACCCUGAUGCAGCGACGCCGCGUGUGGGAAGACGGUCUUCGGAUUGUAAACCACUGGCUUUGGGGACGAUAAUGACGGUACCCAAGGAGGAAGCUCCGGCUAACUACGUGCCAGCAGCCGCGGUAAUACGUAGGGAGCGAGCGUUGUCCGGAAUCACUGGGUGUAAAGGGAGCGUAGGCGGGUAGACAAGUUGGAUGUUAAAUAUAUCGGCUUAACCGGUAUCUGCAUUCAAAACUGUUUAUCUUGAGUGAAGUAGAGGUUGGUGGAAUUCCUAGUGUAGCGGUGAAAUGCGUAGAUAUUAGGAGGAACAUCGGUGGCGAAGGCGACCAACUGGGCUUUUACUGACGCUGAGGCUCGAAAGCGUGGGUAGCAAACAGGAUUAGAUACCCUGGUA